This 486-nucleotide ribosomal RNA is filed under the name uncultured bacterium. RNAcentral describes it as "partial 16S ribosomal RNA". It matches the Rfam family "Bacterial small subunit ribosomal RNA", at positions 30 to 507 of the family's 1533-position model. The record is from RNAcentral.
AUUGAACGCUGGCGGCAUGCCUUACACAUGCAAGUCGAACGGCAGCACGGGUGCUUGCACCUGGUGGCGAGUGGCGAACGGGUGAGUAAUACAUCGGAACAUGUCCUGUAGUGGGGGAUAGCCCGGCGAAAGCCGGAUUAAUACCGCAUACGAUCUACGGAUGAAAGCGGGGGACCUUCGGGCCUCGCGCUGUAGGGUUGGCCGAUGGCUGAUUAGCUAGUUGGUGGGGUAAAGGCCUACCAAGGCGACGAUCAGUAGCUGGUCUGAGAGGACGACCAGCCACACUGGGACUGAGACACGGCCCAGACUCCUACGGGAGGCAGCAGUGGGGAAUUUUGGACAAUGGGCGAAAGCCUGAUCCAGCAAUGCCGCGUGUGUGAAGAAGGCCUUCGGGUUGUAAAGCACUUUUGUCCGGAAAGAAAUCCUUGGCCCUAAUACGGUCGGGGGAUGACGGUACCGGAAGAAUAAGCACCGGCUAACUACGUG